GAUGAACGCUGGCGGCGUGCCUAAUACAUGCAAGUCGAGCGAACAGACGAGGAGCUUGCUCCUCUGACGUUAGCGGCGGGCGGGUGAGUAACGCGUGGAUAACCUACCUAUAAGACUGGGAUAACUUCGGGAAACCGGAGCUAAUACCGGAUAAUAUAUUGAACCGCAUGGUUCAAUAGUGAAAGACGGUUUUGCUGUCACUUAUAGAUGGAUCCGCGCCGCAUUAGCUAGUUGGUAAGGUAACGGCUUACCAAGGCAACGAUGCGUAGCCGACCUGAGAGGGUGAUCGGCCACACUGGAACUGAGACACGGUCCAGACUCCUACGGGAGGCAGCAGUAGGGAAUCUUCCGCAAUGGGCGAAAGCCUGACGGAGCAACGCCGCGUGAGUGAUGAAGGUCUUCGGAUCGUAAAACUCUGUUAUUAGGGAAGAACAAAUGUGUAAGUAACUAUGCACGUCUUGACGGUACCUAAUCAGAAAGCCACGGCUAACUACGUG
This 497-nucleotide ribosomal RNA is filed under the name uncultured bacterium. RNAcentral describes it as "partial 16S ribosomal RNA". It matches the Rfam family "Bacterial small subunit ribosomal RNA", at positions 28 to 507 of the family's 1533-position model. The record is from RNAcentral.